Non-coding RNA from Salmo salar (Atlantic salmon), 4112 nucleotides. Lineage: Eukaryota; Metazoa; Chordata; Actinopteri; Salmoniformes; Salmonidae. The record is from RefSeq and is a predicted model, not a curated record.
AAAUGAAGGUGCAGCUGUCCCUAGAGCCAGUGGGACUAGUGCCUCCACCGGUCAGCAUCCAGCUGUAGAUUUGGUAAUGGAGGAGAAUGAAGGUGCAGCUGUCCCUAGAGCCAGUGGGACUAGUGCCUCCACCGGUCAGCAUCCAGCUGUAGAUUUGCUAAUGGAGGAGAAUGAAGGUGCAGCUGUCCCUAGAGCCAGUGGGACUAGUGCCUCCACCGGUCAGCAUCCAGCUGUAGAUUUGGUAAUGGAGGAGAAUGAAGGUGCAGCUGUCCCUAGAGCCAGUGGGACUAGUGCCUCCACCGGUCAGCAUCCAGCUGUAGAUUUGCUAAUGGAGGAGAAUGAAGGUGCAGCUGUCCCUAGAGCCAGUGGGACUAGUGCCUCCACCGGUCAGCAUCCAGCUGUAGAUUUGCUAAUGGAGGAGAAUGAAGGUGCAGCUGUCCCUAGAGCCAGUGGGACUAGUGCCUCCACCGGUCAGCAUCCAGCUGUAGAUUUACUAAUGGAGGAGAAUGAAGGUGCAGCUGUCCCUAGAGCCAGUGGGACUAGUGCCUCCACCGGUCAGCAUCCAGCUGUAGAUUUACUAAUGGAGGAGAAUGAAGGUGCAGCUGUCCCUAGAGCCAGUGGGACUAGUGCCUCCACCGGUCAGCAUCCAGCUGUAGAUUUACUAAUGGAGGAGAAUGAAGGUGCAGCUGUCCCUAGAGCCAGUGGGACUAGUGCCUCCACCGGUCAGCAUCCAGCUGUAGAUUUGGUAAUGGAGGAGAAUGAAGGUGCAGCUGUCCCUAGAGCCAGUGGGACUAGUGCCUCCACCGGUCAGCAUCCAGCUGUAGAUUUACUAAUGGAGGAGAAUGAAGGUGCAGCUGUCCCUAGAGCCAGUGGGACUAGUGCCUCCACCGGUCAGCAUCCAGCUGUAGAUUUGGUAAUGGAGGAGAAUGAAGGUGCAGCUGUCCCUAGAGCCAGUGGGACUAGUGCCUCCACCGGUCAGCAUCCAGCUGUAGAUUUACUAAUGGAGGAGAAUGAAGGUGCAGCUGUCCCUAGAGCCAGUGGGACUAGUGCCUCCACCGGUCAGCAUCCAGCUGUAGAUUUACUAAUGGAGGAGAAUGAAGGUGCAGCUGUCCCUAGAGCCAGUGGGACUAGUGCCUCCACCGGUCAGCAUCCAGCUGUAGAUUUACUAAUGGAGGAGAAUGAAGGUGCAGCUGUCCCUAGAGCCAGUGGGACUAGUGCCUCCACCGGUCAGCAUCCAGCUGUAGAUUUACUAAUGGAGGAGAAUGAAGGUGCAGCUGUCCCUAGAGCCAGUGGGACUAGUGCCUCCACCGGUCAGCAUCCAGCUGUAGAUUUACUAAUGGAGGAGAAUGAAGGUGCAGCUGUCCCUAGAGCCAGUGGGACUAGUGCCUCCACCGGUCAGCAUCCAGCUGUAGAUUUGGUAAUGGAGGAGAAUGAAGGUGCAGCUGUCCCUAGAGCCAGUGGGACUAGUGCCUCCACCGGUCAGCAUCCAGCUGUAGAUUUACUAAUGGAGGAGAAUGAAGGUGCAGCUGUCCCUAGAGCCAGUGGGACUAGUGCCUCCACCGGUCAGCAUCCAGCUGUAGAUUUACUAAUGGAGGAGAAUGAAGGUGCAGCUGUCCCUAGAGCCAGUGGGACUAGUGCCUCCACCGGUCAGCAUCCAGCUGUAGAUUUACUAAUGGAGGAGAAUGAAGGUGCAGCUGUCCCUAGAGCCAGUGGGACUAGUGCCUCCACCGGUCAGCAUCCAGCUGUAGAUUUACUAAUGGAGGAGAAUGAAGGUGCAGCUGUCCCUAGAGCCAGUGGGACUAGUGCCUCCACCGGUCAGCAUCCAGCUGUAGAUUUACUAAUGGAGGAGAAUGAAGGUGCAGCUGUCCCUAGAGCCAGUGGGACUAGUGCCUCCACCGGUCAGCAUCCAGCUGUAGAUUUACUAAUGGAGGAGAAUGAAGGUGCAGCUGUCCCUAGAGCCAGUGGGACUAGUGCCUCCACCGGUCAGCAUCUAGCUGUAGAUUUGGUAAUGGAGGAGAAUGAAGGUGCAGCUGUCCCUAGAGCCAGUGGGACUAGUGCCUCCACCGGUCAGCAUCCAGCUGUAGAUUUACUAAUGGAGGAGAAUGAAGGUGCAGCUGUCCCUAGAGCCAGUGGGACUAGUGCCUCCACCGGUCAGCAUCCAGCUGUAGAUUUGGUAAUGGAGGAGAAUGAAGGUGCAGCUGUCCCUAGAGCCAGUGGGACUAGUGCCUCCACCGGUCAGCAUCCAGCUGUAGAUUUGGUAAUGGAGGAGAAUGAAGGUGCAGCUGUCCCUAGAGCCAGUGGGACUAGUGCCUCCACCGGUCAGCAUCCAGCUGUAGAUUUGGUAAUGGAGGAGAAUGAAGGUGCAGCUGUCCCUAGAGCCAGUGGGACUAGUGCCUCCACCGGUCAGCAUCCAGCUGUAGAUUUACUAAUGGAGGAGAAUGAAGGUGCAGCUGUCCCUAGAGCCAGUGGGACUAGUGCCUCCACCGGUCAGCAUCCAGCUGUAGAUUUACUAAUGGAGGAGAAUGAAGGUGCAGCUGUCCCUAGAGCCAGUGGGACUAGUGCCUCCACCGGUCAGCAUCCAGCUGUAGAUUUACUAAUGGAGGAGAAUGAAGGUGCAGCUGUCCCUAGAGCCAGUGGGACUAGUGCCUCCACCGGUCAGCAUCCAGCUGUAGAUUUACUAAUGGAGGAGAAUGAAGGUGCAGCUGUCCCUAGAGCCAGUGGGACUAGUGCCUCCACCGGUCAGCAUCCAGCUGUAGAUUUGGUAAUGGAGGAGUGUCUGAAGACAGGUUCAGAUGAGGGUUUGUAUUCUGAAGGUUUACAGAUCCGUUUUAAGGGAUAAGUCAUUUAGCACAUCUUAGGGCUAAUUAUUAAUGUUAUUAGUUUUAGGUGUAGUACUUUUUAUAUGAUACAUUUAGUUGAAUUCAAUCGUCUUUCUUUACAAACACAUUCAAUACACUAACACUCACCUGAUGAAAAUGGUGUGGACAUAAUGAUGCAUUCUGAUUAUUUUAUAUUUUUAAUAUCAACAGUUCAUCUGGCAUUUCAGCAGCAAGUGGUCCAGUAUACACCGUUGGUGAACCAAAUCCGGUCAAGGCAGCUCAGCUGUUCACAUACUGGACACUUCAGUCCCACGAGGACAAAGACCUCCUGAGCUUGAGGGAUUCCUUAGUGGAAAGGAACAGGACCAUAAUCCUUUUCUCAACAAUUGCAUCCAAUGUCUUGGUUUGCUGAGCUUGUGUAACUCUACAUUGAAUGAUUUCAAAUAUGUUUACAAGGUGACUCUGCCAUUGGAGAGGGGGUCACUAGGUAUGUCCUGUCCACUGUUAUGGAAAAUCUUCAAAAUGGAUUCCUACUUGAUGAAGAGAAAGGUUCAUCAGAGGCCCUGAAGAGUUUGUCCGAGGUCCUGAAGAGUGCUUUUUUUAACCUGAAGCUGUCGAAAAAUACUAUGACUUAUGAGGAUUUUGAAAAAGAUCAGAUGGCAAGCAUCUCCUCAUCCUACUCUGGGUUUGGUCUGUUUUGAUUCAAAGCCCUGCAGGAAGACACAAUUCUUCACAUCAGCUCAAAAGUUUUAUAGAGCUUUUUACUUUGUUAUUUGAUAUACUUUACACUAGGUAUAGAGUUUAGUAAACAGUGAUACAGACACUUUGAUAAAGUGGCUUACAUUUUACAUUCUACAUUCUAACGGUAAUGGUUAACCAAAAAAAUCAAAGCUGUACAAUUUGAAAGAUUAGAGAGAGCUAGAUUAAAGGUAUUGCUCACUACCUCGUCAAUUCCCAAUGGCCUUGCAGGCAGAUGCAUUCUAGAUCCUAUUGGAGGAGGAACCUGAAGCUGGGGCCAGUUCAAAGGCCUACCCUCCAUAUCUACUCCCAUUAUCCCUAUUUAAAAGUCCUGUCAAUGCUAAUUGUGACUAACAACGCCUCUUUAUAAACAAUUUUACUUUUGAAGCCAGGCGGGGUUUUCCAACUGUGGGAAACAUACUGUAUUAAGGAAUAUUGUGUGGUAUAUCAGAAUUCCCAUGCACUUGUUCUAUGCCUGGCUGCACUACAAGGUGAACUGUAAGGCAAGUUACCCUCAAACUGUACAAGAGACUGAAAUAAAAAACUGAUGCUUCA